This 198-nucleotide unclassified non-coding RNA is filed under the name uncultured fungus. RNAcentral describes it as "sequence contains ITS1". Lineage: Eukaryota; Fungi. The record is from RNAcentral.
GUAUUUCGAAUUAAGUAAAUUCGUGAUAACAAAUGUUCAGACAAUUUAACUAAAGACGUUGGUAAAUAUAGAAGGCUCCACACUUCAAAAAAAGAGAGAGACCCCCUAAACGUUGCACACAAGGUGGAUAUGGAUUGUUUAAAAAGUGCCAUAAAACACUUGUUGUGAAUGAUCCUUCCGCAGGUUCACCUACGGAAA